UCUUUCUUUGCUGGCGACCGGCGCACGGGUGAGUAACACGUAUCCAACCUGCCCUUUACUCGGGGAUAGCCUUUCGAAAGAAAGAUUAAUACCCGAUGGCAUAAUGAUUCCGCAUGGUUUCAUUAUUAAAGGAUUCCGGUAAAGGAUGGGGAUGCGUUCCAUUAGGUUGUUGGUGAGGUAACGGCCCACCAAGCCUUCGAUGGAUAGGGGUUCUGAGAGGAAGGUCCCCCACAUUGGAACUGAGACACGGACCAA
Molecule: ribosomal RNA, 255 nt
Filed under: uncultured bacterium
Lineage: Bacteria
Description: partial 16S ribosomal RNA
Rfam family: Bacterial small subunit ribosomal RNA
Source: RNAcentral